CAGUCGCCACGGUAAUACGAAGGGUGCAAGCGUUAAUCGGAAUUACUGGGCGUAAAGCGUGCGUAGGCGGUGAGUUAAGUCUGCUGUGAAAUCCCCGGGCUCAACCUGGGAAUGGCAGUGGAUACUGGCUCGCUAGAGUGUGUCAGAGGAUGGUGGAAUUCCCGGUGUAGCGGUGAAAUGCGUAGAGAUUGGGAGGAACAUCAGUGGCGAAGGCGGCUCACUGGACCAUUACUGACGCUGAGGCGCGAAAGCUAGGGGAGCAAACAGGAUUAGAUACCCCGGUAGUCCCUGUCUCUUAUAC
RNAcentral lists this ribosomal RNA (301 nucleotides) under uncultured bacterium. RNAcentral's name for it is "partial 16S ribosomal RNA". It matches the Rfam family "Bacterial small subunit ribosomal RNA", at positions 509 to 807 of the family's 1533-position model. The record is from RNAcentral.